CCUACGGGAGGCAGCAGUGGGGAAUAUUGCACAAUGGGGGAAACCCUGAUGCAGCAACGCCGCGUGAGUGAUGAAGGUUUUCGGAUCGUAAAGCUCUGUCUUCAGGGACGAUAAUGACGGUACCUGAGGAGGAAGCCACGGCUAACUACGUGCCAGCAGCCGCGGUAAUACGUAGGUGGCGAGCGUUGUCCGGAUUUACUGGGCGUAAAGGGAGCGUAGGCGGAUUUUUAAGUGAGAUGUGAAAUACCCGGGCUCAACUUGGGUGCUGCAUUUCAAACUGGAAGUCUAGAGUGCAGGAGAGGAGAGUGGAAUUCCUAGUGUAGCGGUGAAAUGCGUAGAGAUUAGGAAGAACACCAGUGGCGAAGGCGACUCUCUGGACUGUAACUGACGCUGAGGCUCGAAAGCGUGGGGAGCAAACAGGAUUAGAUACCCCAGUAGU
This 439-nucleotide ribosomal RNA is filed under the name uncultured bacterium. RNAcentral's name for it is "bacterial SSU rRNA". It matches the Rfam family "Bacterial small subunit ribosomal RNA", at positions 338 to 794 of the family's 1533-position model. The record is from RNAcentral.